RNAcentral lists this ribosomal RNA (690 nucleotides) under Triticum aestivum (bread wheat). RNAcentral describes it as "partial small subunit ribosomal RNA". The record is from RNAcentral. Lineage: Eukaryota; Viridiplantae; Streptophyta; Magnoliopsida; Poales; Poaceae.
AUGGAGCAAUUGGAGAAGAGGGUGGAUGCUGCUGAACAACAAAUCAAAGAGCUGCGUGAAGAUCUAAAUAGGAGAUUUGACCAGCUGGUUGAGAUGAUAAGAAAGGGUGUCCCCCCUGCUACCAAUGAAGGAGAUUCAUCUAAAGAAGAGGAAGAUGUUCAUCAAGGAAGAAGGAGAGGUAAUCUUGGAGCAAGACCGUCACGACAACAUGUUGUUCAACGUGCUUCAAGAAGGCCAAUUUAUGUUGAGGCUUCUGAAGGUGAAGAAUAUGAUGAUGCCCUUGAAGAACCAAAUCUCUACGCAUAUCGGAGAGCACCCAACCCUACAUAUGCAAGAGAUACAUACAAGGUGAAAGCUGAGAUCCCAAGUUUUAAUGGAAAUGUUGACAUUGAAGGGUGCCUGGAUUGGUUAUAUGAAGUGGAGACUUUCUUUGAGGUCAUGGAGGUUCCGGAAGAUCGUAGAGUUCCUUUGGUCGCAUACAAGCUGAAAGGAGGAGCCGGUGCAUGGUGGCAUCGCGUUCAAGAGGAGCGCAGGCUGGGAGGAGAACCUCGUGUUAGAACUUGGCGACAAAUGAAAGGCCUCUUGAAAGGGAGAUUUUGCCCACUGAUUAUGACCAGAUCCUGUUUAUCCAAUUUCAAAAUUGUGCUCAAGGAAAUAGGACUGUUUCAGAUUACACAGAGGAGUUUCUAA